UGAAAACCUUGUUUUAUUGAAGUUAAUGACGAAAAUACCACCUUCUGUAGAAUUUAGUCUGUACUGAUUCAGAACAGGGGUUCUGUUGUAGGCUGGACUGGAUUUUCUUUUUAGAUGAUUUCUUGCACCAGGUUACUUAGGUCUAUUGUGUCUAAGCUCUUAAAUAUUGUGUGUUGUAACCAGGCAACAUGACUAACAUUUUGCAAACACCUAACUAGCUUCCUACACCAGGGCUAGAUUCACAGAAAAAUGUGCUGUUACAAGACGUGCCUUGCAAGGACAUUGCUCUACCUCAUGCAAUCCCUCUGUAGAGCUAUGGGGUGAGACUACCAUGCACACCAGCAGAGGACAGCCUUCUUACCGUCUGAAAAAUGGAAAUGGUUUUGAGGAACGUGGAGAAUGCAGCCAGCGUCACCUGACACAGCUUCACUACCCUCCAGCUGUAUUUUAAGAAACAGGAAUUACUUUUGAGACAUCCUUUUCAUUUGUAGGAAUCAGCAAAUGCUUCCCAGUGAUGAAUUCUGACCGGAGAGAGGUACCUGCUCCAGCUGUGACCCAACCUCUCCUUGUGUGGCUGGAGGAACAGCCAGACAAAGGUUCCAGUUCCUCAUAUUGCAGACAUGUUACUUCAGUCUGAUCUGGAGCAGAGUGGUUUCUUCAUGAUGAUGGGGGAUACAGCUGAGAAGCAGUUCAUGCUGGAGUCCACAUUAUAUCGAAUGGACACAGGCCUUCCUAUACUCCCAUCCCUGCGAACCAGUGACCUUCACUCUUCAGUGUGGGUAAGGAAGGCAGAUAAACCAUGUCCGCUCAACUUUACAAAAAAGCUGUCCUUGGUUUGGAAGGUUCCUGGAUCAAACACCAACUUCUCCAUGACUUGGCCAUUUUUAUUUUCCUCCCCUGCCCAAGGGAGAAGAAAAUCCCAAGCACUGUCAUCAUCAGCUGGCUUGCGUCCAAUAAUCCCAAAUUAAUUUAAGCGGCCAAGAACUGGGCGUUAACUUCUCUCGUAUGUCAGGAGAGUAGGUAAUAAAAUAAAAACCAAUCAGUCA
Molecule: long non-coding RNA, 1046 nt
Filed under: Calidris pugnax (ruff)
Lineage: Eukaryota; Metazoa; Chordata; Aves; Charadriiformes; Scolopacidae
Description: lncRNA (ENSCPUG00000016377.1)
Source: RNAcentral